Molecule: ribosomal RNA, 520 nt
Filed under: uncultured bacterium
Lineage: Bacteria
Description: partial 16S ribosomal RNA
Rfam family: Bacterial small subunit ribosomal RNA
Source: RNAcentral
GACGAACGCUGGCGGCGUGCCUAAUACAUGCAAGUCGAACGCACUCUCGUUUAGAUUGACGGAGUUUGCUCCUGAUUGAUAAACAUUUGAGUGAGUGGCGGACGGGUGAGUAACACGUGGGUAACCUGCCCUAAAGUGGGGGAUAACAUUUGGAAACAGAUGCUAAUACCGCAUAAAACCUAACACCGCAUGGUGUAGGGUUGAAAGAUGGUUUCGGCUAUCACUUUAGGAUGGACCCGCGGUGCAUUAGUUAGUUGGUGAGGUAAAGGCUCACCAAGACCGUGAUGCAUAGCCGACCUGAGAGGGUAAUCGGCCACACUGGGACUGAGACACGGCCCAGACUCCUACGGGAGGCAGCAGUAGGGAAUCUUCCACAAUGGACGAAAGUCUGAUGGAGCAACGCCGCGUGAGUGAAGAAGGUGUUCGGAUCGUAAAACUCUGUUGUUGGAGAAGAAUGUAUCUGAUAGUAACUGAUCAGGUAGUGACGGUAUCCAACCAGAAAGCCACGGCUAACUACGUG